GACGAACGCUGGCGGCGUGCUUAACACAUGCAAGUCGAACGGAAAGGCCUCUUUCGGGGGGUACUCGAGUGGCGAACGGGUGAGUAACACGUGAGUAACCUGCCCUUGACUUUGGGAUAACUUCAGGAAACUGGGGCGAAUACCGGAUAGGAGCUCCUGCUGCAUGGUGGGGGUUGGAAAGUUUCGGCGGUUGGGGAUGGACUCGCGGCUUAUCAGCUUGUUGGUGGGGUAGUGGCUUACCAAGGCUUUGACGGGUAGCCGGCCUGAGAGGGUGACCGGCCACCUUGGGACUGAGAGACGGCCCAGACUCCUACGGGAGGCAGCAGUGGGGAAUAUUGCACAAUGGGUGGAAGCCUGAUGCAGCAACGCCGUGUGCGGGAUGACGGCCUUCGGGUUGUAAACCGCUUUCGCUCAUGACGAAGCUUUGUGUGACGGUAGUGGGUAAAGAAGCACCGGCUAACUACGUG
This 467-nucleotide ribosomal RNA is filed under the name uncultured bacterium. Its description in RNAcentral is "partial 16S ribosomal RNA". It matches the Rfam family "Bacterial small subunit ribosomal RNA", at positions 28 to 507 of the family's 1533-position model. The record is from RNAcentral.